This 76-nucleotide transfer RNA is filed under the name Rhodothermus marinus. RNAcentral's name for it is "tRNA-Ala". It matches the Rfam family "tRNA". From Rfam's summary of the family: Transfer RNA (tRNA) molecules are approximately 80 nucleotides in length. Their secondary structure includes four short double-helical elements and three loops (D, anti-codon, and T loops). The record is from RNAcentral. Lineage: Bacteria; Pseudomonadati; Rhodothermota; Rhodothermia; Rhodothermales; Rhodothermaceae. RNAcentral also lists the same sequence under 2 other names.
GGGGCCAUAGCUCAGUUGGUAGAGCGCCACAAUGGCAUUGUGGAGGUCGCCGGUUCGAAUCCGGCUGGCUCCACCA